Acanthosepion pharaonis is the source of this 109-nucleotide non-coding RNA. The record is from the annotation of a GenBank genome assembly. Lineage: Eukaryota; Metazoa; Mollusca; Cephalopoda; Sepiida; Sepiidae.
AUGGCCACAUCAUGUUGAAACACUGGCUCUUGUAUGAUCACCAAAGUUAAGCAUUAUUGUGCCUGGUCAGUAAAUACAUGGGUGGCUACUUGGGAAUACCGGGUGCUGU